AUUUAUUAUUCAAAUAUCAUCCAUACAUUUUAUAUCUAAAUAUAGAAUUUAAUUUCUCUACAUUUUUGCAUCUUUUAUCACACUUGACACAUACUGAGAAGGGAUACUAAGAAUUUAAGUUAUUUUUCUCUAAAUAUAAAAUAAAUGUGGAUUACU
This 156-nucleotide small RNA is filed under the name Arabidopsis thaliana (thale cress). Its description in RNAcentral is "ATSL103930". Lineage: Eukaryota; Viridiplantae; Streptophyta; Magnoliopsida; Brassicales; Brassicaceae. The record is from RNAcentral.